UACAGAGGUCUCAAGCGUUGUUCGGAUUCAUUGGGCGUAAAGGGUGCGUAGGCGGCGCGCUAAGUCAGGUGUGAAAUCUCGGAGCUUAACUCCGAAACUGCAUUUGAUACUGGCGUGCUUGAGGACUGGAGAGGAGACUGGAAUUCACGGUGUAGCAGUGAAAUGCGUAGAUAUCGUGAGGAAGACCAGUGGCGAAGGCGGGUCUCUGGACAGUUCCUGACACUGAGGCACGAAGGCCAGGGGAGCAAACGGG
RNAcentral lists this ribosomal RNA (253 nucleotides) under uncultured bacterium. Its description in RNAcentral is "partial 16S ribosomal RNA". It matches the Rfam family "Bacterial small subunit ribosomal RNA", at positions 524 to 776 of the family's 1533-position model. The record is from RNAcentral.